CCUACGGGGGGCUGCAGUAAGGAAUAUUGGUCAAUGGAGGAAACUCUGAACCAGCCAUCCCGCGUGAAGGAUGAAGGGGCUCUGCCUUGUAAACUUCUUUUGUCUGGGGCGAAAAAGCUCGAUUUAUCGAGAACUGACGGUACCAGAAGAAUAAGCACCGGCUAACCCCGUGCCAGCAGCCGCGGUAAUACGGAGGGUGACGGCGUUACCGGGAUUCACGGGGUUGAAGGGGGCUUUGGAAGUCAGUGGAGAAAGGCUGUGGCUUAACCAUGGAAUUGCCAUUGAUACUGCAGAGCUUGAAUGAGGUUGAGGUUGGCGGAAUGUGACAUGUAGCGGUGAAAUGCUUAGAUAUGUCAUGGAACACCGAUUGCGAAGGCAGCUGACUGGACCUAUAUUGACGCUGAGGCACGAAAGCGUGGGGAGCGAACAGGAUUAGAUACCCGGGUAGUC
RNAcentral lists this ribosomal RNA (450 nucleotides) under uncultured bacterium. RNAcentral describes it as "partial 16S ribosomal RNA". It matches the Rfam family "Bacterial small subunit ribosomal RNA", at positions 338 to 795 of the family's 1533-position model. The record is from RNAcentral.